This 569-nucleotide ribosomal RNA is filed under the name uncultured bacterium. RNAcentral's name for it is "partial 16S ribosomal RNA". It matches the Rfam family "Bacterial small subunit ribosomal RNA", at positions 355 to 914 of the family's 1533-position model. The record is from RNAcentral.
UGGGGAAUUUUGGACAAUGGGCGAAAGCCUGAUCCAGCAAUGCCGCGUGUGUGAAGAAGGCCUUCGGGUUGUAAAGCACUUUUGUCCGGAAAGAAAUCCUUGGCUCUAAUACAGUCGGGGGAUGACGGUACCGGAAGAAUAAGCACCGGCUAACUACGUGCCAGCAGCCGCGGUAAUACGUAGGGUGCAAGCGUUAAUCGGAAUUACUGGGCGUAAAGCGUGCGCAGGCGGUUUGCUAAGACCGAUGUGAAAUCCCCGGGCUCAACCUGGGAACUGCAUUGGUGACUGGCAGGCUAGAGUAUGGCAGAGGGGGGUUAGAAUUCCACGUGUAGCAGUGAAAUGCGUAGAGAUGUGGAGGAAUACCGAUGGCGAAGGCAGCCCCCUGGGCCAAUACUGACGCUCAUGCACGAAAGCGUGGGGGAGCAAACAGGAUUAGAUACCCUGGUAGUCCACGCCCUAAACGAUGUCAACUAGUUGUUGGGGAUUCAUUUCCUUAGUAACGUAGCUAACGCGUGAAGUUGACCGCCUGGGGGAGUACGGUCGCAAGAUUAAAACUCAAAGGAAUUGAC